CGGACGGGUGAGUAAUGCCUAGGAAUCUGCCUGGUAGUGGGGGACAACGUUUCGAAAGGAACGCUAAUACCGCAUACGUCCUACGGGAGAAAGCAGGGGACCUUCGGGCCUUGCGCUAUCAGAUGAGCCUAGGUCGGAUUAGCUAGUUGGUGAGGUAAUGGCUCACCAAGGCGACGAUCCGUAACUGGUCUGAGAGGAUGAUCAGUCACACUGGAACUGAGACACGGUCCAGACUCCUACGGGAGCAGCAGGUC
RNAcentral lists this ribosomal RNA (254 nucleotides) under uncultured Pseudomonas sp. RNAcentral describes it as "partial 16S ribosomal RNA". It matches the Rfam family "Bacterial small subunit ribosomal RNA", at positions 99 to 354 of the family's 1533-position model. The record is from RNAcentral. Lineage: Bacteria; Pseudomonadati; Pseudomonadota; Gammaproteobacteria; Pseudomonadales; Pseudomonadaceae.